RNAcentral lists this microRNA (24 nucleotides) under Bos taurus (domestic cattle). Its description in RNAcentral is "bta-miR-11974". The record is from miRBase by way of RNAcentral. Lineage: Eukaryota; Metazoa; Chordata; Mammalia; Artiodactyla; Bovidae.
AGCACCUGCUGUGUCCCCCACAGC